GAAAUAAACUGACAGGUUGUUGCUGGUUCUCUAGGGAACAUUGUGCACGCCUUGUCAUCUUUAUAUCUCCACCUGUGCACCUUUUGUAGACCUGGAUAUCUCUCUGAGUGCUUGCGCGCUCAGGUUUGAGGAUUGAUUCUUUUGUCUCUCCUUACAUUUCCAGGCCUAUGUUUCUUCAUAUACCCUAAUGUAUGUUAUAGAAUGUAAUAAUGGGCCUUUGUGCCUAUAAACAAUAUACAACUUUCAGCAACGGAUCUCUUGGCUCU
This 266-nucleotide unclassified non-coding RNA is filed under the name rhizosphere metagenome. RNAcentral's name for it is "partial ribosomal RNA internal transcribed spacer region". The record is from RNAcentral.